This 749-nucleotide ribosomal RNA is filed under the name uncultured Lachnospiraceae bacterium. RNAcentral describes it as "bacterial SSU rRNA". It matches the Rfam family "Bacterial small subunit ribosomal RNA", at positions 28 to 776 of the family's 1533-position model. Lineage: Bacteria; Bacillati; Bacillota; Clostridia; Lachnospirales; Lachnospiraceae. The record is from RNAcentral.
GAUGAACGCGGCGGCGUGCUUAACCCAUGCAAGUCGAACGAAGCUGCUUGAAAGAAGUUUCGGGAUGAAAUUUAGGUUGAUUUAGUGGCGGGACGGGUGAGUAACGCGUGGAUAACCUGCCUUAUACAGGGGGAUAACGGAGAGAAAUUUUCCGCUAACACCGCAUAAGACCACAGCACCGCAUGGUGCAGGGGUAAAAUAUUUAUAGGUAUAAGAUGGAUCCGCGUCCGAUUAGCUAGUUGGUGAGGUAAAGGCCCACCAAGGCGACGAUCGGUAGCCGGCCUGAGAGGGUGAACGGCCACAUUGGGACUGAGACACGGCCCAAACUCCUACGGGAGGCAGCAGUGGGGAAUAUUGGACAAUGGGGGAAACCCUGAUCCAGCGACGCCGUGUGAGUGAAGAAGUAUUUCGGUAUGUAAAGCUCUAUCAGCAGGGAAGAAAAUGACGGUACCUGACUAAGAAGCCCCGGCUAACUACGUGCCAGCAGCCGCGGUAAUACGUAGGGGGCAAGCGUUAUCCGGAUUUACUGGGUGUAAAGGGAGCGCAGACGGCAAUGCAAGUCUGAAGUGAAAGGCGUGGGCUCAACCCAUGAACUGCUUUGGAAACUGUAUAGCUUGAGUGUCGGAGGGGUAAGCGGAAUUCCUAGUGUAGCGGUGAAAUGCGUAGAUAUUAGGAGGAACACCGGAGGCGAAGGCGGCUUACUGGACGACAACUGACGUUGAGGCUCGAAGGCGUGGGGAGCAAACAGG